UACGAAGGGGGCUAGCGUUGUUCGGAAUCACUGGGCGUAAAGGGCGCGUAGGCGGCCGAUCAAGUCGGGGGUGAAAGCCUGUGGCUCAACCACAGAAUUGCCUUCGAUACUGUUUGGCUUGAGACCGGAAGAGGUUAGUGGAACUGCGAGUGUAGAGGUGAAAUUCGUAGAUAUUCGCAAGAACACCAGUGGCGAAGGCGGCUGACUGGUCCGGUUCUGACGCUGAGGCGCGAAAAGCGUGGGG
This 244-nucleotide ribosomal RNA is filed under the name uncultured bacterium. RNAcentral's name for it is "partial 16S ribosomal RNA". It matches the Rfam family "Bacterial small subunit ribosomal RNA", at positions 524 to 766 of the family's 1533-position model. The record is from RNAcentral.